ACUCAAAGGAAUAGACGGGGGCCCGCACAAGCAGUGGAGUAUGUGGAUUAAUUCGACGCAACGCGAAGAACCUUACCAAGGUUUGACAUCCCAAGAAGUCUGUAGAAAUACGGAUGUGCCUUUCGGGGAACUUGGAGACAGGUGGUGCAUGGUUGUCGUCAGCUCGUGUCGUGAGAUGUUGGGUUAAGUCCCGCAACGAGCGCAACCCUUACGGUUAGUUGCUACGCAAGAGCACUCUAGCCGGACUGCCGUUGACAAAACGGAGGAAGGUGGGGACGACGUCAAAUCAUCAUGCCCCUUAUAUCUUGGGCUUCACACGUACUACAAUGGCGGUUAACAACGUGCAGCGACAUAGCGAUAUGAAGCGAAUCACUGAAAAGCCGCCUCAGUUCGGAUCGCAGGCUGAAACCCGCCUGCGUGAAGUCGGAAUUGCUAGUAAUCGCGGAUCAGCAUGCCGCGGUGAAUACGUUCCCGGGCCUUGUACACACCGCCCGU
This 495-nucleotide ribosomal RNA is filed under the name uncultured bacterium. RNAcentral describes it as "bacterial SSU rRNA". It matches the Rfam family "Bacterial small subunit ribosomal RNA", at positions 899 to 1397 of the family's 1533-position model. The record is from RNAcentral.